Molecule: ribosomal RNA, 465 nt
Filed under: uncultured bacterium
Lineage: Bacteria
Description: partial 16S ribosomal RNA
Rfam family: Bacterial small subunit ribosomal RNA
Source: RNAcentral
GACGAACGCUGGCGGCGUGCUUAACACAUGCAAGUCGAACGGAAAGGCCCCUUUGGGGGUCCUCGAGUGGCGAACGGGUGAGUAACACGUGAGUAACCUGCCCUUGACUUCGGGAUAACUUCAGGAAACUGGGGCUAAUACCGGAUAGGAAUCCUUGCUGCAUGGUGGGGGUUGGAAAGCUUCUGCGGUUUUGGAUGGACUCGCGGCUUAUCAGCUUGUUGGUGGGGUAGUGGCUUACCAAGGCUUUGACGGGUAGCCGGCCUGAGAGGGCGACCGGCCACAUUGGGACUGAGAUACGGCCCAGACGCCUACGGGAGGCAGCAGUGGGGAAUAUUGCACAAUGGGCGGAAGCCUGAUGCAGCAACGCCGCGGGCGGGAUGACGGCCUUCGGGUUGUAAACCGCUUUCAGCAGGGGCGAAGCUUGUGGUGACGGUACCUGCAGAAGAAGCACCGGCUAACUACGUG